UUAUUACGCAGCCAAAUUGUUUGUUUGUACGGGUAAUGAAAGCAAAAUACUUUCCAAAAGGGGAUUUCAUGAGUGCAGGUUUAGGGUUUUACCCUUCAUAUACCUGGAGAAGUAUUUGGGGAGCUAGAUGCCUUCUCGAGGAGGGGCUUGGUUGGAGAAUCAAAAAUGGUGAUGCAGUGAACAUAUGGAAUGAUGCAUGGCUGUCUAGACCUGGAAAUGGAAGAAUACAAGAUCAGUAUAUAGACAUACAAUAUACUAAAGUCUCAGACUUAAUCGAUAAAGAAACCAAUACCUAGAAGUAACACACAAUCCGAGAGUUACUUAGAGAAGAGCUGCUUCAAAACAUUAUGUUGAUUCAACUGGCGCGUAAUAAACCAAACGAUGUCUUAGUUUGGAGAGGCAACAAUACAGGGGUGUACACAGUGAAAAGUGGUUACAAAUGGCAGAUUACAGCCCAGGGGUCUAGUUUACAGACUGAGUAUCCAGCUUCGUUCUAUACAAAACUAUGGGGUCUCAAAGUGCCAAAUAAAAUACGAAUAAACAUGUGGAAAAUAGCUAAUAACUACAUCCCUACUUUAUAUAAUCUAAAACUUCGAAAGUUGGCAGCAAAACUUUAUGUCCGGUUUGUCAAGCAGAGGAGGAAACUGUUAGCCACCUAUUCAAAGAUUGUCUCUUUUCACAGCAGGUCUUGAAAGGGUUGGGGGGGACAGUAUCAUCACACAAUAGUGAACCAAAUUGGAAAAAGUGGUUAGAUAUGGAGUUCAAUAGUCUGAACAAUGAAGAAUGUAAAAUUAGAGUUAUUGCCUAUUGGGCUAUUUGGUAUAAUCGGAAUAAAAUUUACCAUGAAGGGGCCCGCGAACAAGUCAAUGAAGUAGUGAGCUUUGUCAAAGCUUAUUGCACAGAAAUUGCAGCCAUGGAGGUUACGAUGCGGGAUGUACAAGUAGCCGGCAGUUACGACUGGAGUCCACCAGAGAAUGACACAAUAAAAAUUAACUUCGACGCUACAUUCAACCAACAUACGAGAAGAUCUAGUUUAGGAGUCAUAGCGCAAAAUAGAGAUGGUCUGGUGAUGGCAGCAUGUACCUUUCCAUGGGUGUAUAUCUCAAAUCCGGUCAUGGCCGAGGCAAGGGCGUGCUUGCAAGCCGUUUCUAUGGCAGAGGAAAUGGGCUUCCUAGAUAUUUGCAUCGAAGGAGAUUCGUUAACAGUUAUACACAAGUUAAACACUGCAGAAGAAGAUAAAUCUGAAAUAAGUAGUUUGGUUAAAGAAAUUAAGGGAAGAGCCCUCAUCUUCAGAAGUGUGAGCUUUAGGUACAUACAAAGGGAAGCUAAUAAGGCAGCUCAUGGGAUGGCGAUGGAAAGACGUCAACAUGAAAACCCCCAAUACUGGAUAAAGGAGGUCUCGUAGGAGGUGGAAGAACUGGUGAAUAGCGAAAGGAGAGGCAACGGAGAAGAAGAAUAGGUGAAGAAUUAGAGUUCGGACUUUGCAAUAAUCUGUUUGUCUGAUAAACUCGUACUUGGGCAGAAAUGAUGAUGGUAUUAGGUUUGAUUUUGGGUGCUUUCGGUCCUGUUUAGUAGCUGAUACAAGAUAGAUCUGGUGUUCAAUGAAAAAGAAGAAGGGUAACAAGAUCUGGCUUUGUUUAAUUUCUUUUGUGAUUGAAAGGACUGCUUCUUUUAAUUUCUUUUGUUUAAUUAUCUGGUUUUGUUUGGUGCACCGUUUCGGUGCCUUUUAGGAGGUAAACAGCUGUAGGUCGUUUCUU
Molecule: long non-coding RNA, 1757 nt
Filed under: Gossypium barbadense (sea-island cotton)
Lineage: Eukaryota; Viridiplantae; Streptophyta; Magnoliopsida; Malvales; Malvaceae
Description: long non-coding RNA (GBAR_LNC005269)
Source: RNAcentral